UUGGAGGGCAAGUCUGGUGCCAGCAGCCGCGGUAAUUCCAGCUCCAAUAGCGUAUAUUAAAGUUGUUGCAGUUAAAAAGCUCGUAGUUGAAUUUCGGGGUCAGUAGGCUGGUCGUGCCUCAGGUACGUACUGGUCUUACUGAUUCCUCCUUCCUGACGAACCGUAAUGCCAUUAAUUUGGUGUUGCGGGGAAUCUGGACUGUUACUUUGAAAAAAUUAGAGUGUUUAAAGCAGGCUAACGCUUGAAUACAUUAGCAUGGAAUAAUGAAAUAGGACGAUCGAUCCUAUUUUGUUGGUUUCUAGGAUUGACGUAAUGAUUAAUAGGGAUAGUUGGGGGCAUUAGUAUUCAAUUGUCAGAGGUGAAAUUCUUGGAUUUAUUGAAGACUAACUACUGCGAAAGCAUUUGCCAAGGAUGUUUUCAUUAAUCAAGAACGAAAGUUAGGGGAUCGAAGACGAUCAGAUACCGUUGUAGUCUUAACCAUAAACUAUGCCGACUAGGGAUCGGAUGACGUUAAUUUUUUAAUGACUCAUUCGGCGCCUUACGGGAAA
Molecule: ribosomal RNA, 548 nt
Filed under: uncultured Glomeromycotina
Lineage: Eukaryota; Fungi; Glomeromycota
Description: SSU rRNA
Rfam family: Eukaryotic small subunit ribosomal RNA
Source: RNAcentral